CACGUAGGCGGACUGUUAAGUCGGAUGUGAAAUCCCUCAGCUUAACUGAGGAAGUGCACUCGAAACUGGCAGUCUUGAGUAUGGAAGAGGGUCGCGGAAUUCCCGGUGUAGAGGUGAAAUUCGUAGAUAUCGGGAGGAACACCAGUGGCGAAGGCGGCGACCUGGGCCAAUACUGACGCUGAGGUGCGAAAGCGUGGGGAGCAAACA
Molecule: ribosomal RNA, 207 nt
Filed under: uncultured bacterium
Lineage: Bacteria
Description: partial 16S ribosomal RNA
Rfam family: Bacterial small subunit ribosomal RNA
Source: RNAcentral